GAGAAGCGGGGGCGAGCCGCGGCGCGAACCCUCGCCCCCGAGCGGCGGCCCCGGCGCCUCCGCCGCGAGCGUCAGCCGCUUGGCAAGGAACGGGCUGGGCUGAGUCAUAAUAAAAGACGCGUUUGUCGAGCCAAGUGGGAAGAGGAGCCGCGGGCAGCAGUGUUCAAUGGCACAAGCCUCAACAAUUGGGAAGGAUUUUUUUUUUUAAUGGGCGAAACUGGAAACUUGCCGCCAUGGUGCCCAUCAAAAGAUAUGUUUCGUUUAUAAUUUGCAUAUAUUUUAUACAUAGUCUUUGAAUCUAAUAAAACUUUUAAAAGAAUUUUUAAAGCCCAUUGCUUGCAGAGCCAAAUUCCUGGUUAUAGCUUCGUGACUUAUGCAAGUUACUUGAAUUCUGUGCUUUUGUUUUUCAUCCAUGAAACAGGAUAAUAAAGGUACCUCCCUCAAGAGAGACUGCGAGAGAGCUUGGCAUCCUGCCUGCACUUAGCACUCGCUAAAUGUUAAUUGUUAUUUUAAAAUAGGAGGGAGGAGAUAAUAAAGAGGAACUUAGAUAACAGUUUUGAAUGGAAGAAGAUACGAAUAUAAAUCAAGAUUUUUCUUUUUUCAAGUGGAGUAAAUUAGACAAAUUACCAAUGGAAGAGAAGAAAGUGGAGCCUGGAAGGAACAAAUGGGGCUAAGAGAAGUAGCUGAAGCGAGGGAAGGAAGAAGGGGGAAGGAGGAAAAAAGAGAGGAAGAGGGGAGAAUAAAAGCCUCCAAGGAGCAAACGAGGCUGAAAGAUGUGGCUGAAGGUAGGGAAGGAAGAAAAAGGGAGGAAGAGAAGAAGAGAUAAAACCAAGGAAGCAAGAAUAAAAAACUAGGCUGCGUGGGAAGAGGGGAGGAAGGAAGGAGAGAAAUUCAACUAGGCUCAGUGGCCAAAAUGCUGAAGUGUGUCCUGCCGGGAGGGAGUGGAGGAAUAUGUUUACUCACUAUUUAGAAAUGCAUGACAAACUCCAUCCGCUGAGGGAGCUUUUUACAAUGUAUAAACAGAUAAACAACCGUCUAAAAAUGAGCCCCAAAUGAGGAGCCUUUGCUCCAGUGAAUGAGAUUUGGCAGUUCUGCAAAAUGAGGAAAUUCUUCCUUGUGCGGCAUCUUGAAGGGUUGAGUCAUGAAACCCACAGCAAAUAUUAGUGGGCUGGAUUCCUGAAAGGCAUGCCAGAUGGACGCAUUCUGCUUAGUUUUACUGUGUGAUGUUCCCUUCUGUACUUCUGUCAAUUUUAGAAGAAAAGAGUGUGAAUAAAGAUUUGAGAAGUGGACUUAAAAGCCAAACUAGUUACUUAAUGUACGAGUAUCCACCCACCAGGAGCUUACAGUUACAGAUUCCAAAACAAGCAACCGUUUCUCCCACUUUCAUUUUCCCUCCCCUUUGUUUCUACUUUCACCGUAUUGCUUUUUAUCCAUUUUUAUAAUAUGAUUUUUUACAGUGGAACCGCCUACAGGAAAGGUGCUUUUAAUUAAUACGAAAGAAUGGAAGGAAUUUCAGCUAGGCCUCUCUAAGAGAGUAAAGCUUUGUGAAAGAAAGGUUUUUUAGCUGAAGUUUUAAUGAGAAUAAGAGUAGUUGGCAGAUGUGAAAUCAGAAGUUUUUUCAGACAAACAAGAAAAUAAUACGACUCGAGUGAAAGGGAAUGGACUAGAAAUCAGAAACAGUUCUAUUCCUGAAUUACCGUAAGAACCAAAGACUGGAGGAAAGUUUUCCUAUUCUAUAAAGAAAAAUGGGGGCCUCCCUCCACCAGCCAGACCUUCAAAAAAGAGGAAAAAAUAAAAAUUAAAAAGCUCUAUUAGAUUCUUGUAAUGAUUUGCUUUUUCUUGGGAGGACUUCUUCAGGGUAAAAGACGUGAAAGUGCUUCUUUUCGGCACCUUCUGACGAAAUACUUUUGUAGAAGCAAAAUUUCUGAAGGGAUAAUUUUUGCUCAAGCAAAAAACUAUUAGUAAGAUAAGAAUCCCUUUUCCUUUGUUUCAAUUUUGCUAAGCCUUCAGGCUGAGGCAAACAGAUUAUCAUUAAACCUUUAUUAAUGUGAAACCAAAAAAAGAUAAAAUCUUAAAUGCUGCGAAGCCCUUAACCUAAAAGGAGCGAGAAAACAAACCAAGGCCCAGAAAAUAGAGAAAGAGAUUAGGAAGCCUUUCUAAGGGGAACCUUUGAACUGUGGGCUGUAAAAUAAUGUCUGUGACUUGCCUUAAACAAAUAGGCAAUAUAAACUAAAGCUGGGAACUAAGAAGAUCUCCUCAGAUCAGAUAAAAAGCUUACCUUGUGUGAAACACUGCGGUCAAAGAAGAAAAUUGCUUUCAUCUUAAGUGGAGACAAAAACAUGUAUCACUUGUUUUGUGUGUGCUCAUAAAACACCUCCAUCACCUGAAUCCCUUGGGUGCAAUUUUUUGAUGGACUUGGCAUUCUUUAAACUGAACCUUGACUCAGGUUUUGAUCAUGUGAAUUUAUCCAGAGGUGGAUUGUGAGUACAACUUGAAUGGAACUGGAGGCCAUUAUUCUAAGUGAAGUAACUCGGGAAUUGAAAACCAGAUAUCCUAUGUUCUCACUUAUAAGUUGGACCUAAGCUAUGGAUAAGCAAAGGCAUACUGAGUGAUAUAAUGGAUAUUGGAGACUCAGAGAGGGGAGAGAAGAAGGAGGGACUCAGACUGAUAAACCAUUUGCAUGAGAGAACUAUACACCAUUUGAAAAAGAGCUUUUUUGCAAGGUGUGGUGGCUAACUCCUGUAACCCUGGCAACUCAAAAGGCUGAGGCAGGAGGAUCACUUGGGGCCAGGAGGUGGAGACUAGCCUGGGCAAUACAGCAAGAUCCUGUCUCUAAAAUAAAGAAACAAAUAAAAGAAAAAGAAAAACAGCUUUUGGUAUACUACUGGACUCACAUAGAAACCAAUCUUCUGAACCUAGAACAUCAAAUGACCACAUAAUAAAAUUAUCUAUCUUGAACUGAGUUAGAUCAUUAGUUAACAAGUCAUAACAUUAGGCAACCUCAUCAGCGAUCUGUUGUAAAAUGGAAGUGUUAUAUUUAAAGUUUUGGGCUCAAUUAAGUCCAGAGAGCUUAAGUAAGCUUCAAGAAAGAUGGCUUGGACCUCCAUGUCACCUGAAAAUGUUGCAUUAACAACACUUCCUCAGCCUCAUGGGAGGAAUUCUCCAUUACCAGCUGAUAGAGAAAGACAGUUUGAGUUUGAUCCAUGGAUAGACUGGCUUGAUACAUGGUUACCGGUGGAAAAUGAGCUGCUAUUUUACUAUACCCCUUACUUGGGAAUGUCCCUGACAGACAGUUGUGAGGAAAAUCCCUUAGGCAGAGUAUCUGUCAGUUCAUUUGGUCAUUCAUUUGUAUAAUAAGAAAAGUCGUCCAAACUAAGGGUAUACGUGAACUCUUAGGCAAUAGUUAAUGGUUUAGCUCUCUGGUGAGAAGUCAGAAAGGAGUAAGAUUGGAAGAUUGGGAUCAAGUAGGACUAGAAAAGAAGCAUGUAUUUAGACCUAUGGGAGUGGGCACGUGGUGUGAGCAUGUUUGUAUUGCAUGCUAACUCUCUCCACCCCCUUUUAUGCCAUUUCUCAUUAUAUCUACCAAAUCAUUUGUACUGCAGAAUCUUUUAUAUUUUUCACUGGACUGAUUAUAUGAAUGUAGUAUUAAUUAACAUGUUUCUCCACACCCAUGUUUUUGCAAUAAUUUGGCAGUAGAUCCAGAUUUGAUUAGAUUCAUCUUUGCUUUUUUCUUUUUUUGGCAAUAACAGACCAUAGAGAGGUGAUAUAAUCUGAACUUCCUAUUGCAUCAGGAAGAACAUAAUGUAUUCUCUUAUUUUUAUUUAGGUUAAGAUGGAUCAAGUGUUGUCAUCUAUCCAUUAAAAAUUUUUCCCAUCAAUCUUUCAUCUAAUAGUUUUAGCAUUUAUUAUUUAAUUCAAGGUGCAAAGUGGUGAUGUUUCAAUUCUAAUAUUACUCCUGAAUUUACUAGUUGUUAUUGUUUUCUAAAGAGGAAAUUUCAUACAUUUUUUGAGUAUUCUGAAAUACAGUCUUAAUAGGAAAGACAGAAUAAAUGUUAUAUUUUCUUCUUUUAUUAUUAUAAUAAUGAGUUCUUGUCUUAUUAAUCAUCAAAGCCAAUAUAUGGAUUUCCUUUUGAAUAUCAUUAUGAAGUUAAGAAGUUUCUUUAUGAAUAUUAUUAUGAUGUUAACAUAUAUCUAUAUCUGUAUAUCUAUAUCAAGAUAUAUAUUUUGAUCUAUUGCUGUCAUCUUUUAUUACACUAUUUGUUUCACGUUUGGCAAAUGAUGUUAGGAAAUAAAUUUUUUUU
Long non-coding RNA from Pan troglodytes (chimpanzee), 4300 nucleotides. RefSeq lists it as uncharacterized. The transcript has 3 exons. NCBI's taxonomy places the organism in Eukaryota, Metazoa, Chordata, Mammalia, Primates, Hominidae. The record is from RefSeq and is a predicted model, not a curated record.